AGUUUGAUCCCGGCUCAGAUUGAACGCUGGCGGGAUGCUUUACACAUGCAAGUCGAACGGCAGCACGGACUUCGGUCUGGUGGCGAGUGGCGAACGGGUGAGUAAUGUAUCGGAACGUGCCUAGUAGCGGGGGAUAACUACGCGAAAGCGUAGCUAAUACCGCAUACGCCCUUCGGGGGAAAGCGGGGAAUUCGGCCUCGCACUAUUAGAGCGCAUUAUAUCGGAUUAGCUAGUUGGUGGGGUAACGGCUCACCAAGCAUGGCGACGAUCCGUAGCUGGUUUGAGAUGACGACCAGCCACACUGGGACUGGAGACACGGCCCAGACUCUACGGGCAGCAGUGGGGAAUUUUGGACAAUGGGGAAACCCCUGAUCCAGCCAUCCUGCGUGUGCGAUGAAGGCUUCGGGCUAGAAAGCACUUGGCAGGAGGAAACCGGCAUCGGGAUAACACCUCGCACCGACGGUACCUGCAGAACAAGCACCGGCUAACUACGUGCCAGCAGCCGCGGUAAUACGUAGGUGCAAGCGUUAAUCGGAAUUACUGGGGCGUAAAGCGCAGCAGGCGGUUCGGAAAGAAAGAUGAACCCCAGAGCUUAACUUUGAACUGCAUUUUUAACUACUGAGCUAGAUGGUGUCAGAGGAGGUGGAAUUCCGCGUGUAGCAGUAAAUGCAGAUAUGCGGAGGAACACCGACACAAGGCAGCCUCCUGACAACACUGACGCUCAUGCACGAAAGCGUGGGGAGCAAACAGGAUUAGAUACUCCUGGUAGUCCAUGCCCCAAUGAUGUCAACUAGCUGUUGGGGCCUUCGCCUUGGUAGCGCAGCUAACGCGUGAAGUUGACCGCCUGGGGAGCACGUCGCAAGAUUAAAACUCAAAGGAAUUGGAUGACCCGCACAAGCGGUGGAUGAUGUGGAUUAAUUCGAUGCAACGCGAAAACCUUUACCUACCCUUGACAUGUCUGGAAUCCCGAAGAGAUUUGGGAGUGCUCGCAGAGAAUCCAACAGCAGGGGUGCCAUGGCUGUCAGUCGCUCGUGUCGUGAGAUGUUGGGUUAAGUCCUGCAACGAAAGGCAACUCCUGUCAUUAGUUAUUACGAAAGGGCACCUGACGAGACUGCCGGUGACAAACCGGAGGGAAGGUGGGGAUGACGUCAAGUCCUCAUGGCCCUUAUGGGUAGGGCUUCACACGUCAUACAAUGGUCGGGACAGAGGGUCGCCAACCUGAGGGGGAGCCACAAUCCCGAAACCCGAUCGUAGUCUGACUGCAGUCUGCAACUCGACUGCGCAGAAGUCGGAAUCGCUAGUAAUCGCGGAUCAGCAUGUCGCGGUGAAUACGUUCCCGGCUCGUACACACCGCCCGUCACACCAUGGGAGUGGGUUUACCAGAAGUAGCUAGCCUAACCGUAAGGAGGGCGAUUACCACGGUAGGAUUCAUGACUGGGGUGAAGUCGUAACAAGGUAA
Molecule: ribosomal RNA, 1459 nt
Filed under: uncultured Bordetella sp.
Lineage: Bacteria; Pseudomonadati; Pseudomonadota; Betaproteobacteria; Burkholderiales; Alcaligenaceae
Description: partial 16S-23S ribosomal RNA intergenic spacer
Rfam family: Bacterial small subunit ribosomal RNA
Source: RNAcentral